Oryzias latipes (Japanese medaka) is the source of this 1904-nucleotide non-coding RNA. Lineage: Eukaryota; Metazoa; Chordata; Actinopteri; Beloniformes; Adrianichthyidae. The record is from RefSeq and is a predicted model, not a curated record.
CAGUUUCUCUUUCAGACACUGGAAUGUGAAGCAUUACAGUUCAAGUGAAAAAUAUAACUUCCCCAUGCUAAACACAGAGGGCAUGUGGCAAACCAAACCAUGUUUUGAGCAAAAACCCUUCUUCUGUUACACAGGUGAUCAUUUAUAUUCAAUGACACAAAAGUAAACUUACUUUGAUUCAACUACUGUUGUUGAUAAAAAUCAACAUACAAACUGCACAUUCUCUGCAAAAACCUCACAUGUGUAAAAGCCCCAAAAUUUGUCUGUUUCUGUUCAUUUGGAUUACUUCCUUUAUUGUUCUGUAUUUUAACAGUUUUCUGAGCAAAAGAUUUUGGGGAACAUCUAAAAAUCUGACACUGGGUCUUGGUAAUCUCUUCCACUGAAGUUAGUCAUGUUGUAUUUCUCAGAAGCAUUUUUUUCAUCCACUUUUUCUUGUUUGUCUCUAAUGACUUGUUUUUUUCUUUUCUUUCACCAUUUCAGAUGUGAGAAACCAUUAACAUGAUGAUGAUUUCCUUUCAUCAGAUCAUGUGUGUCACGACGAGCGUAACGAAUAGACCCAGACGCUGGAACCCGGAAGAAACACAGGUGAGUACGUGGUGGAAUGAAAGAAGGUUUUAAUAUUGAUUCUUGGUUUGUGGAUUGUUCUUGGUGGAGUUGACGUCCUUGGAGGAACCCGCGGCGAGGAUGGUUCGGUCCGGUGGCCCGUGGCGUCACUGGUGGGUCGGCAGAGGCUCGUGGUGUCUCUAGAGUUACGGCAGAGGCUCUAGGCGUGACAGGACGGAAUGCUGUGGCUUGGAUCCGUGGAUGAAGAAGACUCAGACGACCACUCGUGUUUAUGGAUUCCUGGGAACAAGGGGCAACGGACUGGCGAUGAAUACUGGUCCAGGGGCUCCUUAAGAAGACAGGCAGGUGAUGAGGUAAGUGGUCGCAGCUGAGUCGCAUCAGGAACCAAGCAGAGAGGGGAGGAGUCUGACAGAGGCACCAUGACAAUGUGGUUCUGAUCAAAGAGAACAGGAUUUGGGAGGAGGCCUUAUACUACUGCAGACAUCACCACCAUGACCUGGUCACCAUCACUAACCCGGAGGACCAAAUUUUGGUCCAGGAGAAAAACCAAGAAUGCCUCCUCUCCCUUUGUGUGGACUGGACUGCGCUACACCUGCACUCUGGGGUUCCGGAUCUGGGUCAGUGAUGAGGUGGUCCGCUACAAGAACUGGGCCUCACCUGAACAGGUGAAUGAGUGUGACAUGUCAGGAGCCAUGGCGACAGGAGGAGAACACAAGUGGUUCAAGAAACAUGAUGAGGAGAAGUUCAAUUUUAUCUCUUCAAAGUGAAAAUCUGUUCAAUGAUCACAAGCUUUAUCUUUUGUUUAUUAACUAAGAUUUUUUUUUAAUUCUAAAACAUCUGGCAAAGCAAUUUUUUAGGGUUGAGGAAGCGGUUUGCUGUUUGGAUGUGAUUUACCAUCCAUCUAUCUUCAUAACUUUUGGGGUCAUGGGGAUGUUGGAGCCUGAUGGGUGCUACUGUUGGGUGAAGAUGCGGUGUGGACCGAUGUGGUGUACUUUUACUUUAAUUUCUUGGAGAGAAACACAUGAUUAUAUGCUAUCAUUUGUACAUCUGCAUAUUAUAUUUUUUACAUGAUGAUUGCUUUGCAAAAUAUAUGCAUAUUUUACAUUUAGAGUUAAUCUCUGUAUAAACAAAUUCCAGUCAUUAAAAGGUUACACAACUGCAAAUCAUUUGGUUUUCCUAGUUUUUACCAAAAAAAAAACAUUAACUUUCACAAUCUUUUAUGCUCUGAAAUAUCUUUCAAGGAAUGUGAAACACUGAAUUCAUAACCAGAAUACUAAUAUUCCUGUUUGUUUGUGUAUUUUUCAUUUUAACAUUAAAAGAACUUGAGUGUGUGACUUAAA